AUAUCACAUCACAACAGUGUGUUGAGUUGUGUUCAUCUGUUCAUGUGAGGACACAAUAACAACAACAACAAUAACAACAACAACUGAAAGCAGCAUUAAAUCAGGAACCAAUUAUGCUUCACCAAAACUACAAGGUUGGGGGAGGAUCCUCUUUGUGCCCGUGGGUUUAGCAGCUCUCAUAAUAAUUGUUGUGGCGGUCAACAUGUGGACGAGAGCUAAAGAGAAGAAAACACAGACGGAGGAAAUCGCUGUGCGUUAUGAUGUAGAUGAUGAUACAGUGAACUAUGAAAACAUCAGAUCUCCUGAUGGAGUUUGACCAACACUUCUGCCUCCAUCAGACUCCACUGAUCAACUCGUCACCUUUUACUGGACUAGUUCAAGACUGGAAAUAACUAAAAGAAUCAUCAAGGCUUAUUUCAUUUUAGUCUGAUGUAUUUUCCUGCAUCAAUUGUAAAAAAAAAAUGUUCUCAUCUGCAGCCAGUUGAGAACAGCAGCUGGAUUUGAACUUCAUUUAACUCUUGUUAACUUCCUGAAAUAGUCUUCCAGUUGUGGAUUUCAGAGCUGAUUUUAAGAUGUACUGCUUGUUGUUGAAGCUCCAGCAGCUUGAGAGGUGUGUGUGUGUGUGUGUGUGUGUGUGUGUGUGUGUGUGUGUGUGUGUGUGUGUGUGUGUGUGUGUGUGUGUGCGCGUGUACAUGCGUGUGUGUGAAUGUGUCCCUAAUAGAUUCAGUAACAGUCUUCUCUUCAUUCUGUGAUUACAAUAUUGUAGUAAACUUGGGUGGUGGUUGUCUGUGAGGACUGUGACAACUAAUCAAAGACUAAUAAGAUCCACCUGAUCCACAUUGUUGCUGCUGUCAGAGACUCUGCUAGUUGAUCAGUCUCAGCUGGACUUGAUUGCUGAGACACUGAACUGAUAAAGUAGAGCCGAGCGAGUGGCAUGGUGUUCUGGGGGAGGGGAGCAUGUUUCUGGUUGUCAGGUUAGGGUUGUUUGCACGACCAAGCCACUGGUAUUGCACUCACAGGAUGGGGGUCUGUUCACAGCCGGUUAGGGCUGCCGGCGGUGAAGACAGAAAGACUAGGAAUAGAGUUCCUGCGCUAGGGGCCGAUGACAGUGAGGGACCGGGGGAACUAGGAGUGCUGCCUGUUCUCCAGCUCUGUUUGAUAGUCUAUAUCCUUGACGUUCCACUUCCAGGAUUGCUUCGGGACCGCAGGAUGCAUAUAUUUAUGCCGAUUUCUGUUUCUUUCCGCUUUCUUUUUUUGUUGGAAUUUUAAACUCCGGUGGAUUUCUGAGGACUAUGGUUAACUGCUCCUCAGAUCUCUGCAGGGUAAAUCCAGACAGCUAGACUAUCUGUCCAAUCAGAGUUUUCUCUCGCACGACUAUUUUGCAAAGGCUCCGUACAGAGUUUAGCUCCGCCCAUAACGAUUCUGAUUAAAGAAAUGCCACUAAACCAGAGCACGUUUUCCUCCCAUCCCCGAAUGCUAUGUGGAGUAGCCAGACCGUCCUUCAGGGCACAUUGGAGGAGGGUCUGGCAAAGCGAGACUACGGUUUGUGGACAUCUGACACGCUGUCAGCCGCUCUGUUGCUCCAGCGCUGGACAGACCUCACCCCCAGGGGAUCCGAUCGCAUAUGAGCCGGUUCGGACCAGUGUCUAGUUUUGUCUGUAGGCCUAUUUACUGUUUAUAUAUGUACAAUAUGAGUGGGUUUUAAAGCUGCAGCAACAGUAACUGACUGGUGGUAAGCUGUGUGGGAGUUAGCUGAUUGGUACGGGUGGAUACAAGCCUGUCUAGCCCAGGUUAAUUAAAUGGGGGGCCGAUAGUGUAAGUGAUAGCCUAGUGUGUUGAUCUGAGGUGAAAACAAGUGUGCAGUAUCCUGCAUUCAGUUCAUUGUGGUUGAAUGCGCUUUGCAAAGUUUGGCGUGUGUAUUUGCAUGUUGAUUGCUGUGUGAUUACCUGCAU
Long non-coding RNA from Perca fluviatilis (European perch), 1952 nucleotides. RefSeq lists it as uncharacterized. The transcript is spliced from 4 exons. The record is from RefSeq and is a predicted model, not a curated record. Lineage: Eukaryota; Metazoa; Chordata; Actinopteri; Perciformes; Percidae.